GUGCUCGCUUCAGCAGCACAUAUACCAAAAAAUUGGAAGGAUACCAAGAAGAUUAGCAUGGUCCCUGUGCAAGGAUGAUACGCAAAUUCAUGAAAUGUUCCAUAUUUUU
Otolemur garnettii (small-eared galago) is the source of this 109-nucleotide small nuclear RNA. NCBI's taxonomy places the organism in Eukaryota, Metazoa, Chordata, Mammalia, Primates, Galagidae. The record is from Ensembl.